GGCUUAUUGAAAAUAAUUUUAAGUCUGGCCUGCCCAAUGAAUAAUAUUUUAAUGGCCGCAGUAUUUUGACUGUGCAAAGGUAGCAUAAUCAUUAGUUUUUUAAUUGAAAGCUUGUAUGAAAGGUUUAAUGAAAAAAGUACUGUCUUUAUUUAAAUUUAAUAGAAAUUUAUUUUUAAGUUAAAAAGCUUAAAUAUAUAUAGAAGACAAGAAGACCCUAUAGAGUUUAAUAAAUUUAUUAAUAAAUUAAUAUUAGGAAUUUAAAUUUAAAUUUAAAAAUUUAUUUUAUUGGGGUGAUUGAAAAAUUAAAUAAACUUUUUUUUUAUUUAAUCAUUAAUGUAUGAUAAUUUGAUUCUUUAAUUAAGAUUAAAAGAUAAAAUUACCUUAGGGAUAACAGCGUAAUUUUUUUUAAGAGUUCUAAUCGAAAAAAAAGGUUGCGACCUCGAUGUUGGAUUAAAAAGUAAUAUUGGUGUAGUAGUUGAUAUAGUAGGUCUGUUCGACCUUUAAAAUUUUACAUGAUCUGAGUUUAAACCGGCGUGAG
Molecule: ribosomal RNA, 538 nt
Filed under: Miocalles sp. ARC3493
Lineage: Eukaryota; Metazoa; Arthropoda; Insecta; Coleoptera; Curculionidae
Description: partial 16S large subunit ribosomal RNA
Rfam family: Bacterial large subunit ribosomal RNA (bases 387-538)
Source: RNAcentral